Long non-coding RNA from Dermacentor albipictus, 2772 nucleotides. RefSeq lists it as uncharacterized. The record is from RefSeq and is a predicted model, not a curated record. Lineage: Eukaryota; Metazoa; Arthropoda; Arachnida; Ixodida; Ixodidae.
UGGUAAGAGUGGCUUUAUUCAACCAUAGAAGUAUGUACGGGACAGCUUGUUCAUCACAGGGUGUAACCUCAGCAUGGUAGGUCACAUGGUAUUAUCACAGCAUGGAAGGUCACAUGGUAUUAUCACAGCAUGGAAGGUCACAGGGCAUUAUCACAGCAUGGAAGGUCACAGGGCAUUAUCACAGCAUGGAAGGUCACAGGGCAUUAUCACAGCAUGGAAGGUCACAGGGCAUUAUCACAGCAUGGAAGGUCACAGGGUAUUAUCACAGCAUGGAAGGUCACAGGGUAUUAUCACAGCAUGGUAGGUCACAGGGUAUUAUCACAGCAUGAACACAAAGAACGGUGACUGUCACAGACGGCAGCACGCGUCGGAACAGUUGACAAACUCACUUGCAUUAAAAGCAACGUAUAGCCGGAGUUAUGCAUGCUGUAUGCAUGACAAUGAAACAGGCAAUGAACCAAGAUAUCGCGAGAUCAAAACAUGGAAAAUUGAAGAACAGCACCAUGGUAGCUUGUCACAGAGAUCGGUCAUACGUCUCGAUACAUCGUGGUAAUUAUUGUGCGUCUCUGAAUGACCAAGUUGAUUGGACCCUGCGCUAAUGGAGGCAAGUUGUGCCAGAAUACUACUGCGUUGAGAGAACGCUAUGUACAGUUGUGCCGUUGGCAGCGUUAUUAGGCACUCAGACGUGUCGCAGGGCGCAGACACCUGCCAGUGAAGUGAAUUUACAGAGUGCAGAAUACCUGGUUCAAUCCUCGGACAAAGGCACGUCGAACCAGCAAAGUUGCACGCGGUGCGGUCAAGCAGUUACGCGGCAUGCAGUCUGGACAUACAAACAGUCGCAGACGUGUUAGAUCCUGUCCGUAGACCACGUGUGAAUCCACAUUUACAAUCCCAUAUGGUAUGAAGAUCGAAAUCACCGUGUUGCAAAAUGGUGAGCGACUACAGAAGUUUCUUACCGGGAUAGCAAAGAAAUCAUGUGGGUAAAGAACUGCCCCCCAAAAAAUUAAGCUGAAAAAAAAAGACAUGCUAUCAAACUACGAAAACUCUGAAUUGAUUGCUCUCCAAUUUUGUUAAAUAUGACGUCAAGGACUAUGUUGCGUAUUCACUAUAUUGGAAGAGAAUAUAUGUCUGGCACAUGUCAACAUGAUCACAUGGAAAUACACGAGACAAUGAAAUGACUAAAUAACCUAACUAUGUGACGGUCAAGCAAGCAUCGUGUAAAAACGCAGUCUCACGGGGCACAUGCUCACGGAGAUCGAACACAGGCCGUUGCGCGUAACGAAGGCUGACAAAGGAAUGAAGUGUCAGGAAGAGAGCGUCUAGAGAAACCCGGUGCAGGUGCUCGCAACAGCAUGAACAGAUUGCUUAACUCUCACGCGCUAUAAAUAGGAAGCCCUAAAGAAUGCUGGCGAGCCUGAAUUGAAAAGGCUGUUGGUGCCAAGAAAAAAAAACGAAAGUUGGACCAUGAUCAUCUGAUGCAGGCACGCACUCUCACCGGGCCUUGCGGUGGAUGAGUUUUGAAGAUUUGUGGUUAUUCAUUUAAACAUUUAUGUAAACAUUUAUUUAUGUAAACAUUUAUUUAUGUAAACAUUUAUUUAUGUAAACAUUUAUUCCAGAGAGCAGCUGAGAGCUCGCAGAGUCUGCUGCUGCUUGUUAAAUGUUAUCACAGUUGCGUUUCUAGCCGAUCAGGUCUUAGCGACCCUGUGAGCUCGCCAGAACUGGCAAGGCGGUGAAUUUGGCAACGUGGCGAAAUUUGUCAAUGUCCGGAGCAGUCCUGAAACUAGAUUUGCCACGAAACAUGCGCAUUCGAUGCAAGUGAGGCAUCGUUUGUACGUACACUACACGAAUGCAGUAUAACGCAGAUACUCGAAUGAAAUGGCGAUUAUAGAUUAAGAUGUAGGAUACUGUAGGGGUUUGUUGGGUUUCAAUGCAUUGUUUCAGUAACAUAGCUUACUCGUGCAAAUCUGGGUCUACGCAUUCUAGGUGGAACGAAAAUGGUUGCCGUCUUGUUGAAAAUUUUGAUUUCAUUUUCCACCCACGUGACACAUUGCUGACCAUGUUCUUGCACGACCGCCAUACUAAUAUCGAUCCAUUGGGAUAACAAGAAACGAUCCUUCGUAUUUUAAGCAGUGCCUGUAGUGUUGUACGUAGAACAUACAACUAGCUCUCAGAACAGGCCAACUUGUCGGUUGCUAACGUCUGCUGGAAAAUUAAACGUCUAUGGGCUCAUUGCAUGAGGCACUCCCACGCGUGUGGGAAGUGGGGAGGAAUAAUUUGUGAUGAUGCAUUUCUCAACUUUGUUAGUUUACAGAUUUCCACUGUCCUCGAUUACACACAAACCUUUCUCGUUCCGUUGAAUAAGAGGUGGCCCCUAUUUAUUACGAUGACAAUUCUCUUCGGAUACAGAGAUUACGAGUACACAGACAAAUGUGGCCACUGAAACUUGUGCCCAGUAGAAAGAACAAAAUUUUGGUAUUUGUAUAGUGUGUUGCAUUUUCAAUUGGUCAUUUUCCUUUCACCGUUUAGACUAACUUUUUUUUUUACCGGUACACAGUUCUUCCCUUCGUAAAUCAAGAUUUUGUAGUGAUGGUUUUUCGGGCGCUUAAACUUGUACAUCAUAAAUCCAAUUGGUUUGGGUGCCUGGUUAAGAAGGCAGAUUUCUAAACGAAACGGCAGAUUAACUGAUGAAUGUGUCUCUAGGUGGUCUGGUUAUUUGAAUUGCUUUGAUUACAGCCGCUAGAUUCUGGGAACAAACGAUGCUGCUAUAUUUUA